ACGAACGCUGGCGGCGUGCCUAACACAUGCAAGUCGAGCGCGAAUGGAGCAAUCCUAGUAGCGCGGCGCACGGGUGCGUAACACGUGGGUAAUCUGCCUGGGAGACCGGAAUAACCUGCCGAAAGGCUGGCUAAUACCGGAUAAGCCCACGGACUCUUCGGAGUCUGAGGGAAAAGGUGGCCUCUGUAUACAAGCUAUCACUUCCAGAUGAGCCCGCGGCCCAUCAGCUCGUUGGCGGGGUAAAGGCCCACCAAGGCAACGACGGGUAGCUGGUCUGAGAGGACGAUCAGCCACACUGGAACUGAGACACGGUCCAGACUCCUACGGGAGGCAGCAGUGGGGAAUUUUGCACAAUGGGCGAAAGCCUGAUGCAGCAACGCCGCGUGUGUGAUGAAGGUCUUCGGAUCGUAAAGCACUUUCGACCGGACGAACCCCGUUCGGCUAACAUCCAACGGCUUGACGGUACCGGGAGAAGAAGCACCGGCUAACUCUGUGCCAGC
This 500-nucleotide ribosomal RNA is filed under the name uncultured bacterium. RNAcentral describes it as "bacterial SSU rRNA". It matches the Rfam family "Bacterial small subunit ribosomal RNA", at positions 29 to 512 of the family's 1533-position model. The record is from RNAcentral.